This is a small nucleolar RNA of Magnolia sinica, 108 nucleotides long. NCBI's taxonomy places the organism in Eukaryota, Viridiplantae, Streptophyta, Magnoliopsida, Magnoliales, Magnoliaceae. The record is from RefSeq and is a predicted model, not a curated record.
UAGCCAUGUUGUAGACAUGAAUUUAUGAGAUCCUUAAAUCACUCCUAACAUUGGAAUAAGGUUUCAUCUUCUUUUUGCACAAAAUUCAUGAUUGUUUUCCUUAAGGUA